RNAcentral lists this transfer-messenger RNA (109 nucleotides) under Vibrio cyclitrophicus. RNAcentral describes it as "partial transfer-messenger RNA". It matches the Rfam family "transfer-messenger RNA", at positions 1 to 111 of the family's 374-position model. Rfam says of the family: Bacterial tmRNA, also known as 10Sa RNA or SsrA, is named for its dual tRNA and mRNA-like properties. Its role is to liberate the mRNA from a stalled ribosome. Lineage: Bacteria; Pseudomonadati; Pseudomonadota; Gammaproteobacteria; Vibrionales; Vibrionaceae. The record is from RNAcentral.
GGGGCUGAUUUAGGAUUCGACAGGAAUUUUGAAGUCUGAGGUGCAUGCCGUGGGGCGGUUGGCCACGUUAAAAGCCGCAAAAAAAUAGUCGCAAACGACGAAAACUACG